RNAcentral lists this long non-coding RNA (909 nucleotides) under Lepisosteus oculatus (spotted gar). RNAcentral's name for it is "lncRNA (ENSLOCG00000021492.1)". Lineage: Eukaryota; Metazoa; Chordata; Actinopteri; Semionotiformes; Lepisosteidae. The record is from RNAcentral.
CCCCCCUCCCAUUCUCUCUGUCUGUGCAGCUCUGGGCCUCAGUCUGCUCGCUGUAUUCAGGCCGUGCCAGCUGGCCAGGACCCCAGCUCAGCUCAGCUCCCAGCCUGGGGGCAUCACGGUGACGCACUGGUUACUGGGCUGCCUCGCAGAGCUGCAGCCCUGGGUUCAACUCCAGACCUGGGGUGCUGUCCAGGUGGAGUUCGCACGGCCCCCCUGCGUUUGCGUGGGUCUCCCCCAGGUGCUCCGGUUUCCUCCCACCCUCCGGAGACAGAGGGGUAGGUUUACUGGCUCCUGGGAAAAUCGCCCCUGGCGUGAGAGUGUCAGUCUGCCCUGCGAUGGACAGGCGGUCCUGUCCAGGGUGUACCCUGCCUUGCGCCCAUUGCUUGCUGGGAUAGAGUCCGGCUCCUCCGUGGCGCUGUACUGAAUUAGGAAACGGCUGGACAGAUUGUCUACGCGGGGGCGCAGCGGCUCGGGGGCACUGAGCGCCAUUGGAAGGGGGGAGGGGAAGCCUGGGACGCCAUCGUCUGGGCGCUCGCGGGACUGGCGGCAGGACAGCCGCAGGGCGAACAGGGACGGGGGGGGGGACCGCGGGCUGCGAGGAGCCUUGGGGCAGGGAGGUGCUCCGACACGCAAGGAGCUCCAAGGAGCUCCAAGGAGCCGCGCGCGACCGGAAUGCAGAGCCACCCCGGCAGGCGGCAUACCAGUCAGUUCAGCGCCGCGGUGCCAAGUCCCGACACCCUCCUCCAGAGCCCGUGGCCCUUCCCUCGUGGUCGGGCACUGCUGGUGAAGCAGGUCGAGCUGCUGCUCUGAACUUGCGCUCUUGAUCGCUGUGGCCGCGGCUAAAUGUUACCGCAGCACCUUUCUGAAUUCCACGGGGCAACCUGGAACGUAAACGCGGGGGGAAUUCUC